Molecule: long non-coding RNA, 2046 nt
Organism: Anopheles funestus (African malaria mosquito)
Lineage: Eukaryota; Metazoa; Arthropoda; Insecta; Diptera; Culicidae
Exons: 2
Source: RefSeq, a predicted model, not a curated record
GGGUUUUGGGUGGUGCCUCCUAGUGCCUUAUUGUUCCGUGUUUGAUACCUACCCCAAAAAAUUCUCAUACAUACGGUUUCGGUGCCGAUUUUAGCCCAAAUUUCUAUGCUGGAUUUGUGGAAGAAGAAUUACAAAAAAAGCCUAUAACGAAGCUGUGUUACGCAAAACCGAGCGAUAAAUCUGCGUGUGAGAAGGAUAUUGGUGAUGAUCGUGGUGUAUCUAUACCGUUUUUUUAGGUGAAUGUUCUAUGUUCUGUAUGAAAUUGCGUGAAACCGAUUCUCUCGGAUGAUUUUGUCCGAUCGGAAAGCUAUUAGCGUGUUGCUGGUUGCUGUUUGAAUGAUUUGUUCGUGAAUUCACUACGGCUUAGUGUACUUGAGGAUAGAGAGAGAGGAUAGCGUGUGUGCCUUAUACGUGUGAAAUACCUUCGAAGUCAACAGCCUUCGCCCGCCAGAAGGGCCUUCAGAUAAAGUUGUGCAAAAAUAAAUACACAAACCGGGCGAGUGUGUGAGUUUGCGUCCGAAUGUGCGUUGUGAGAGAGAUCAUUUUCGUUGCGUUUGCAUGAAUGGUUUUUACCGCUGGCUAGUGUAAAACGAGAAAGAGAGUGGAUAAAGAAUAUUUUAAAAUAGAAAAUCCGUCCCAGCAAAAAAUAAAUAAAAAGGGUGCUCACUAUUCGGAGUAAACGACUAAAAAGGUCUGAAAAAGGAGCAAAACUUCACACACAGGCACGGGAAAACAGCGAAGGGCGUUUUAGCAUUUGAACCGGCUCAGUGGCAGAAGGUAAGUUUCGCAAUCGCCAACGGCAAAGAUGGAUUUUUCACGGUGGAUUACAUCGUACAGCGUUGCGGGUGAUGUAUUACCGUGCGAUAGUUACCAGCCAGAAAGUGGUGGGCCCGUGUGCAGAAUCAAUAUACGCAGAGGUUGUCUUUGCUGUGAAACACUUUAACCAAUAGCACUUGACAGGCAUCGCUGGAAUUGGUUAAGUGAUUUACGUGCAUGUUUAUGUGAAAUGCAAAACAAAAAUAAGUUGAAUAUGCUUGGGGCAGUAUUUUCGGUCUCACACUACCCGGAUAAAUAACGAUCAACACGGUUCGAUUUUUAUAUGCUUUAGGCGGAAACAUGGGCGUAGCAUCUGAAACAUUUUCUCCAACCGGAAAAAUGAAAAUCUUUCCACGAGUCAAAAAAAAUAUUUUGCUGAGAAUUUACUUAAAAACGUAUUUUUCUCACCACUAAGUACUGCUUAAAAGAUGCAAAAUUGUCAAUAUCUAGUAUAUCAUAUCAAUAUAUUGUCAAUGAUUCAUGAGUUUUGCUUACUUAAGAUGAAUAUCAAAAAAUGUGAUUAAGUUACGCACAGCAAACUCUCUCACGGUACCAUUGGUUGAUGGUCAGUCAAACGCAGAAUGGAUAAAUUUUUGGCAAACAUAAAUUACCGAAGUCGCUCGAAGUUUGUUGGCAUAGGGAAUCUCCUUAAACGCAAUUAUUUGCUAAUCAGCAAUGAAAGAUGAUGAAACGAAGCGGUUUUAAUAGACCUGAAUGGUUGAGGUUGGCAAGCUGGAUUUAGCUGGAGUUUAAUCUUUAUAAUUGGCCACCGAUGAUGAUCAUUCCUUUGGACGAUUCUCAUUUGGCGUUUGAUUGGAUUAACGGUGUUUUACAAGCGCACAUAAAAAAAAGAAUGCGUGUCUUUCUAUCUUCAAAUAGGGGAAAACCACACACACACUUGGAGUACCUUUUGACUGUAAUGUCGUUGAAAGUUGGUCACUCGUUUGUCUUGGAUUUAUUGGAGUUACCAGAUUUGUUUUUCUCCUCGUCGGAGAAGGUUAAAAAUGCCAUCAAGCUACUGUUUUGCUGCGAGCACCAAACGAAUGUCAAACACGGUUUCACGGUUUUGCCUGCCGCAGACACUUUCUGGGACUGUGCUGUGGAGACUGGAGAAGAGCUUUAAUGUUUUUUGAUUGGGGUCACGAAAUGCGUAGACUGAUUGGCUGAUUGAUUGAUCGAUAAUUGCCCGGGAGAAAUAAAACAGGGUGGCUGGGUUGGAAGCCAAAAAAA